Molecule: transfer RNA, 77 nt
Filed under: Planctomycetota bacterium
Lineage: Bacteria; Pseudomonadati; Planctomycetota
Description: tRNA-His
Rfam family: tRNA
About the family: Transfer RNA (tRNA) molecules are approximately 80 nucleotides in length. Their secondary structure includes four short double-helical elements and three loops (D, anti-codon, and T loops).
Source: RNAcentral
GAGAGUGUAGCUCAAUUGGUCAGAGCGCCAGGUUGUGGCCCUGGAGGUCGGGAGUUCGAAUCUCCUCACUCUCCCCA